GAUGAAGAACGUAGCGAAAUGCGAUACUUGGUGUGAAUUGCAGAAUCCCGUGAACCAUCGAGUCUUUGAACGCAAGUUGCGCCCGAAGCCAUUAGGCCGAGGGCACGCCUGCCUGGGCGUCACACGUCGUUGCCCCCCCAUCUACUCCUUCGGGAUUGCGGGGGGCGGAUGAUGGCCUCCCGUGCGCCUCGCCGCGCGGUUGGCAUAAAUGCCAAGUCCUCGGCGACGCACGCCACGACAAUCGGUGGUUGCGAAACCUCGGUUGCCCGUCGUGUGCGGUCGUCGCGCAUCGAGGGCUCGAAAAAAUUGCCGGGUUCCGGCUCGGCUUUCAACGCGACCCCAGGUCAGGCGGGGUUACCCGCUGAAUUUAAGCAUAUCAAUAAGCGGAAGA
Molecule: unclassified non-coding RNA, 391 nt
Filed under: soil metagenome
Description: partial contains 5.8S ribosomal RNA, internal transcribed spacer 2, and large subunit ribosomal RNA
Rfam family: 5.8S ribosomal RNA (bases 1-122)
Source: RNAcentral